CCGGGGCCAGUCCUCCAGCAGCUUCUCCAUAAAUGUUGGUUGGAUGGAUGGACAAGAGAGAAGGCGGCGGAGGUGAAGGGGUCAGCCGUGCCCGAGGACAAGCCCACGUUCACAGGCCCAGGAAUCCACCCGCUUCAGACCGGGGAGAGGACAGUCUGCAGGACCAGGAUGAGCUGAGGGCAUCGUGGCCACCACGGACAGGCACCGUACCGGGAGGACACUGGGACAGGCCCCAGGAACCGUCAGCGAAGGCCACAAGGAGCUGAUUAUCCUCAGGCGCCUUUCCAUGCGGAGACGCCGAGGUCUGGGCAACGCCAGCUCUGAUUCCGCGGAUGGGGCCCGGAGGCGGAUCUGGGGAGCGCGACCUGGGUGUGCGGUGCCUGUGGAACUUCGGGGUCCUGUGCGGGCUGUGACCCAGAUGAAGAGGCUGUCAUUGCUCAGGUGGACAGCAGGCUGCCCAGGGACAAAUUGUCCACAGGGGCAGGUCCAGGGUCUGGGCUCAGGACCGUGUGAGUCCCCUGUGCGGCUGCCUCUGCUGGGCUUCUCCACCCUCCAGACAUCUCUCUGGCAGGGGAGACCUUGCCCCAAAUGAUAAGUGGCAAGAUGGCUGCAGUGUCUGUGCACAUCAUCCUCACGACCCAGUAUCCAAGGCCAGAAAAGAGAAUGUAUCCUGUUUAUGUUCUUCUAAUGAGGAAGGUGUUCCUGGAGGGUACCCAGAACCUUCCCCUUGUGUCCCCUGGGCCACCAUCGCAUCCCACGGCCAUUCCUGGACAACUCUCUAGCGAGGGAAGAGCCGUGGACAUCAGGGCCCUGGAGUCCUGCAGACCCGAGACCUCAGAAGCCUCCUGGAGCCAGCCUGGCGGGUCCUGGAAGAGAAACCAGGAGCAUUUUCAAGAUGGAGGCCACCUGUCGGGAGCAGAGACUGGCAUCUCCAGAUGGCAUCUUCGGAGACCAGCGUGUCGGCACCGGGGCUCUCAGCACCUCUGUCCACCCCGCAAACCCCACUCUCCCCUGCUGCGGUGCCCAGGAGGAGGACGGCAGGUCUCCCUAGUGUCCUCCUAAGUCAACCAAAGCAGAUGCCCGGUUCCAGCCUUUCACGGUCACAGCCAACACUUGUGGAGUCAUUUUCCUCCCACAUUCGGAUUCCUGGACCUAAGCUAAGUGGAGCGCUGCAGAAAACUCUGGUUAAAGUGUGACAGUGAGAAAGAGAAGGGCAGGAUUCCUUCACUCUUGAGAAGGACUCUGUGCCCAGAAGGGACAUUUCUGUCCCUAAAGAUGUGCUGGGGGAAGCCUGGCGGAGACCUGUGCUUCCCGCCCAUCUGAACUCUUAUCCCAUGAAACCUUAAGUUGCUUAAAAACGUUGAAACGCCUAUGGGAUGACUUUAAAGGGUUUGUGCCUAAAGUAGAGCAUUCUAACUGGAGAUCAAUAGAAACGAUUUGCAAUUGCUGGUUGUGUUUGAACCACCUGAACGAACAACCCACCGGCAGGUUUGCAGGUGUGGGUGUAUCGCAGGACAAGACCCAAGGAAGUUUCCCUGGUGCACACAAAGGAGCUUUGGUGGGCUCCAGCCGAUCUGGGGUCAGCAAGCUCUUCUUUAGUCAGCAGGGGACUCAAACACCCAGGAGGCUCAUCUUCUGGGCGUCUUACUUUUAUAGGCCUCAUUUAGGGCGGGGCAGAAAGGUAGUUCCUAGGGUCAGCUGAUCUACCGGGGUGGGACAGAAGGGUGGGUGGGGAAGUUCCUAGGGUGCACUGCAUUGGGAUCAGCGGAUCCCUUAGAGCAGGGAGUUAAGUGCCCUUGGGUGUGAGUUCUUUUUUAUUUUUUAGGUGUCGAUGGACACAACACAAUGCCUUUAUUUUUUUUUUUUUAUGCGGUGCUGAGGAUCGAACCCGGUCCCGACCGACCAUGCUAGGUGAGCGCUCUACCUCUGAGCCACAGUCCCAGCCCUGGGUGUGAGUUCUUUUCCCUCCCUGCCUUCCCUCUGGCUGAGGCCUAGGACCUUAAAUAAUAAAAGCUCCAAUUGACCAUGGACAAAGCGGGUGAGGAAACAGGUAUAGACGGGGCAGUGUCCUGGGGUCUACUUUCCAUGUCUUUUAUCCCUUCUGUACCCUGGUGAACCGUACUGUGCAAACAGCCACGUAGAUCAAUCGGUGAGAGAUGCCCAGGGCUCAUCUGAACUGGACUGGACGGGGCUGGGAGCGUCCCCAGGUGUCUGGCAGAGGCAAGGAAAAAACAUAUGAAAAAUAAUCCAGAAAAAGGCUGAUUCCUUUGGGAGAACAGCCAAGAUGCACCUGGAGAGCAUGUCCACCGUCCCUCCUGGUCCCUGGGCCUGGCAAGUGGUUCGAGCUGGGAACAUGUGUCUAUUAAUUAUGGAACAACUUUUUUUCCUUUUCUUUUCUUUUUUUUUGGCUAAGCCAUUCAGAUUCGAGGAUUUAGCUAGUAAAGAUAAAUACAAUUACUUACAUUUCAAUCAAUACUUAAUUUCUUGCAGUUAUAGAUCGCACAUCCUAGCUCUCUUGGUUCUGCUUUUACUGUCAACUUAUGGAUCUUGAUAUUUUAUUUAUGAACUUAGUAAUUUUUGUAGAAAAAGCAAGAUCACAUUUACUUCUUUAUUGAUUCAUGUUCAAUUAUGUCAUAAAUUUGACAGAUGAAAUUCCCAUAAACUUUUUAACACCAUUUAAACAUUUCAUUAAGCAACUUCUGUUACAUAUCUCAAACUACAAUUGCAAAUUUAAUUUAUCCAAUUCAAACACUUCAAACACCUGACAAGGGAGACUUUGGAAUAUGAUAAACGAAUUAUUUCUAAGUACUUAAGCAACUUUUGCAAAUCUAAUCAGACAUAAAAUUAGUUUUAUUGUAAACAUCAUAAAAAGCAAUCCCCAACACAUAAAAAUGAGGCAAUGAUGAUAAAAUUUCUUACUACAACUGUAAAUACAACUUAUACAAAAGUAUCAAUAUUAUGGACUCAUUUAUUUCUUUAUCAUCUUGUUAUGUUAUGUCUUCCUUUCAAUAUUAUGUUUGUAAUACUCGUCCUGUUAUAAUUGUAGCUUGUUGUGUUUUCAUUGUUGCAUAUUAUUCCAUUGCAAUGUCUAUGCCACAUUCUAUUCUUGUAUCAAAGAUUGAAUUUAGGGUCUUAUGCAAGCCAGGCAAGUCUCUAACCACUGACCCAUAUCUUCAGCCCUUUUCUUUUUGUGGUACUGGGGAUUGAGCCCAGGGGUGCUUUACCAUGGAGACACAACCCCAGCCCUUUCUAUUUUUUAUUUUGAGACAGGGUCUUUCCAAGUUUCUUAGUGCCUUGCUAAAUGCUGAGGCUGGACUUGAACUUGUGAUCCUCCUGCCUCAACCUCCCAAGUCACUGUGAUUAUAGAAAUCCUCCUUCUUUUUUUAAUUGUCUCAUUAUACUUGUACAGACUUAUGGGAUCCAGGGUGAAGUUUUGAUACAUGUAUACCGUGUAAUGGCCAAUUCAGGGUAAUUAGCCUAUCCAUCACCUCCAACGUGUACUGUUUCUUUGUGGUAAAACAUUCAAAAUUGUCUCUUGCAGCUAGCUAUUGUGCACAGUCUACUCUUGGUGAAUAUUUAGGUUGUUCCAUUUUCAGCUAUUAUUAACAGUGUUUCUGUGCUCUAAAAAUAUCCUUAUACAUUUUCAUGACACAUAUGCAUGGAUUUGUUUGAGGUUUAUACCCAGGAUUAUAAUUACUGGUCAUGUAGUGUUAUCACCUUUCCUAGAAAAAGCUAAACUCUUUUCCAAAGUGGUUGUAACAUCCCUGCCCUCCCCUCCGGUCUGUGUUGACAAGCUGUAUUUUUCUAGGAAUUCCCCCAUUUCAUCUAAAAUUUCAACCUGAUUGGCAUCAGGGUGUUCCCCAUGUUCUCCUCCCUUCCUUGGAUGCUGGGGACUGAGCCAGGCCUUGCUCACGCUGGGCAGGUGUUCUGCCAGGAAGCCUCACCUUCCGCUCAAAUCCUCUUCUUUGUGGCCGCUGUAGCAUGGGUGGUGUUACUUUUGAUACGAUUUGUUUCUGCUCUUUAUCCUUCGGGGACCAGUGUCCUCAGGGCAAAAAUGGCUUCAUUGAUCACUUUCCUCCCUUGGUUUGCAUAUUUUCUUUCCAACUUUCCCUAGCGAUUUCUUACCGUCUCCUUAGCCCUUCAUUUCUUUGAAGAUUUUAAGCCUGAGACGGUGGGGCACACCUGUAAUCCCAGCAACUCAGGAGGCUGAGGCAGGAGGAUUGCAAGUUUAAGACCAGCUCAGCCACUUGGUGAGGCCCUAAGCA
This 4265-nucleotide long non-coding RNA is filed under the name Ictidomys tridecemlineatus (thirteen-lined ground squirrel). RNAcentral describes it as "lncRNA (ENSSTOG00000030461.1)". The record is from RNAcentral. Lineage: Eukaryota; Metazoa; Chordata; Mammalia; Rodentia; Sciuridae.